GAAGAAGAAAACAAGGGUUCUGUUGAAUUUCAAGUAUCCAGUCUCACCAAUAAGAUACCGAGACUUGCAUCACAUUUGGAAUGACACAUAAAAGAUACUUCAUCGGAAAGAGGUCUAUGAAGAUUGGGCAAACGUCGACGUUCGCUGGCUCAUUUGGCAAAGAAAAUAGAGUGCGUGAUAAGAAACUAA
RNAcentral lists this ribosomal RNA (189 nucleotides) under Triticum aestivum (bread wheat). Its description in RNAcentral is "partial small subunit ribosomal RNA". The record is from RNAcentral. Lineage: Eukaryota; Viridiplantae; Streptophyta; Magnoliopsida; Poales; Poaceae.